GACGAACGCUGGCGGCGUGCCUAAUACAUGCAAGUAGAACGCACAGUUUAUACCGUAGCUUGCUACACCAUAAACUGUGAGUUGCGAACGGGUGAGUAACGCGUAGGUAACCUGCCUGGUAGCGGGUGAUAACUAUUGGAAACGAUAGCUAAUACCGCAUAAUAUUGAUUAUUGCAUGAUAAUUGAUUGAAAGAUGCUAUUGCAUCACUACCAGAUGGACCUGCUUUGUAUUAGCUAGUAGGUGAGGUAACGGCUCACCUAGGCGACGAUACAUAGCCGACCUGGGAGGGUGAUCGGCCACACUGGGACUGAGACACGGCCCAGACUCCUACGGGAGGCAGCAGUAGGGAAUCUUCGGCAAUGGACGAAAGUCUGACCGAGCAACGCCGCGUGAGUGAAGAAGGUUUUCGGAUCGUAAAGCUCUGUUGUAAGAGAAGAACGGGUGUGAGAGUGGAAAGUUCACACUGUGACGGUAUCUUACCAGAAAGGGACGGCUAACUACGUG
RNAcentral lists this ribosomal RNA (505 nucleotides) under uncultured bacterium. Its description in RNAcentral is "partial 16S ribosomal RNA". It matches the Rfam family "Bacterial small subunit ribosomal RNA", at positions 28 to 507 of the family's 1533-position model. The record is from RNAcentral.